This 376-nucleotide ribosomal RNA is filed under the name uncultured bacterium. RNAcentral describes it as "bacterial SSU rRNA". It matches the Rfam family "Bacterial small subunit ribosomal RNA", at positions 524 to 898 of the family's 1533-position model. The record is from RNAcentral.
UACGUAGGUCUCAAGCGUUAUCCGGAUUUACUGGGCGUAAAGGGUCCGCAGGUGGAUAGGUAAGUCUGAUAUUAAAGGUUACAGCUCAACUGUAAUUUUGUGUUGGAAACUGCCCAUCUUGAAAGUAGGAGAGGCAGACGGAACUUAUGGUGUAGGGGUUAAAUCCGUUGAUAUCAUAAGGAACGCCAAAAGCGAAGGCAGUUUGCUGGCCUAACUUUGACACUCAGGGACGAAAGCGUGGGGAGCGAUCGGGAUUAGAUACCCCGGUAGUCCACGCUGUAAACUAUGGAUGCUAGGCAUUGGGGUGUUCGACCCCUUCAGUGCCGCAGCUAACGCAUUAAGCAUCCCGCCUGGGGAGUACGAACGCAAGUUUAAA